This 118-nucleotide ribosomal RNA is filed under the name Staphylococcus croceilyticus. Its description in RNAcentral is "Staphylococcus petrasii subsp. croceilyticus partial 23S ribosomal RNA". It matches the Rfam family "Bacterial large subunit ribosomal RNA", at positions 1 to 117 of the family's 2925-position model. The record is from RNAcentral. Lineage: Bacteria; Bacillati; Bacillota; Bacilli; Caryophanales; Staphylococcaceae.
AGAUUAAGUUAUUAAGGGCGCACGGUGGAUGCCUUGGCACUAGAAGCCGAUGAAGGACGUUACUAACGACGAUAUGCUUUGGGUAGCUGUAAGUAAGCGUUGAUCCAGAGAUUUCCGA